CUACGUGCCAGCAGCCGCGGUAAUACGUAGGUCCCGAGCGUUAUCCGGAUUUAUUGGGCGUAAAGCGAGCGCAGGCGGUUAGAUAAGUCUGAAGUUAAAGGCUGUGGCUUAACCAUAGUACGCUUUGGAAACUGUUUAACUUGAGUGCAGAAGGGGAGAGUGGAAUUCCAUGUGUAGCGGUGAAAUGCGUAGAUAUAUGGAGGAACACCGGUGGCGAAAGCGGCUCUCUGGUCUGUAACUGACGCUGAGGCUCGAAAGCGUGGGGAGCGAACAGGAUUAGAUACCCUGGUAGUCCACGCCGUAAACGAUGAGUGCUAGGUGUUGGAUCCUUUCCGGGAUUCAGUGCCGCAGCUAACGCAUUAAGCACUCCGCCUGGGGAGUACGACCGCAAGGUUGAAACUCAAAGGAAUUGACGGGGGCCCGCACAAGCGGUGGAGCAUGUGGUUUAAUUCGAAGCAACGCGAAGAACCUUACCAGGUCUUGACAUCCCGAUGCUAUUUCUAGAGAUAGAAAGUUA
Molecule: ribosomal RNA, 517 nt
Filed under: uncultured bacterium
Lineage: Bacteria
Description: bacterial SSU rRNA
Rfam family: Bacterial small subunit ribosomal RNA
Source: RNAcentral